CCUGGUGGCUUAGACGGUAAAGCAUCUGCCUACAAUGCAGGAGACCCGGGUUUGAUUGCUGGGUCAGGA
This 69-nucleotide transfer RNA is filed under the name Capra hircus (goat). The stretch from base 6 to 62 matches the Rfam family "tRNA", at positions 8 to 63 of the family's 71-position model. Rfam says of the family: Transfer RNA (tRNA) molecules are approximately 80 nucleotides in length. Their secondary structure includes four short double-helical elements and three loops (D, anti-codon, and T loops). RNAcentral also lists the same sequence under 1 other name. The record is from Rfam by way of RNAcentral. Lineage: Eukaryota; Metazoa; Chordata; Mammalia; Artiodactyla; Bovidae.